AGUAGAUAAGAGAGGGCAGAUUAGAUGAAAUUGUAAACCCCCAACAACAUCCAUUCAUCCAUUGUUUUCUUUUGUAAUUUGAAUCAACUUUAUUUUGCAUGUUAAUAUUUUUGUUCUGAAAUCCAAUUUAUUAAUUUUUAUUUUCAAAGUCUUAUUAUUUUAAUUCACGUGAACGAGAAAGCCUUUCGAGUCUCUUGAGAAAACGAUACUUGGUCUUCCUAUUUAUAUUACUUGUACGAUUUGGUACACUUGCCGAUUUGUCAACAAGUUUUUGGCACCGUUGCCAGGGACUCGAGGUUUAUUUUUCUAGUAGUGUGAAUUGAUUGAAUUUGACUUGGUUGUAAUUAUUUUUAUUUUAUUUUGGGUUAAAUAUGUUUGUCGUCCUUUAACUAUCACAUUAUUUUGGUUUUAGUCCCUACUCGAAACAUUGAUGGUUUUUAGUCCUCCUUAUUUUGAAACUCUUACUAUCAGUCCUUAAAAUUGGACGGCGUUAACUUUGUCUAGACGUGGCAAACGACAAUGCCACGUUACUUUUCUCUCUCUCUUCCAUGUUGUUUUUUUUUUUAAUGAAAUUAAAUGAUUGCCGACCAUGAUUCUGCAAUGGUGUACCCCCAAUUUCUCUCUUCCUG
This 629-nucleotide long non-coding RNA is filed under the name Vigna radiata. Its description in RNAcentral is "long non-coding RNA (VRAD_LNC006656)". The record is from RNAcentral. Lineage: Eukaryota; Viridiplantae; Streptophyta; Magnoliopsida; Fabales; Fabaceae.